Long non-coding RNA from Boleophthalmus pectinirostris (great blue-spotted mudskipper), 712 nucleotides. RefSeq lists it as uncharacterized. NCBI's taxonomy places the organism in Eukaryota, Metazoa, Chordata, Actinopteri, Gobiiformes, Gobiidae. The transcript has 4 exons. The record is from RefSeq and is a predicted model, not a curated record.
UUCACACCUGGACAGAAGAUAAAAAGGGGAGGGGCAAGCAGCUUCCAAUUAAAGUGCUGUGCCUCAGGAAUAAAAAAUGACUACUUGGAUCUGCUCUCCUGGGUUUUUGAAGACAUCUGAUGGAGACUGGUGGAUCUGAACAGAAGCAAGGCAAAUGUGUGGUGUGUAGAUUCGGUCUGGUGUGUUCCUGAAGCUACAGCGCCACCUACAGGGAGUCAUAAACACAAACCAUCCACUACUCCAAUGGAAAGUUGAAAUGAACUUAUCCUAAUGACUGAAAGUGGGUUUAAUUGGUUUUAUUUAUUAUAUAAGUGGUCAUGUUCAAGAGUCAUUAUGAGUAAGAGCAAUAUGAUAUAUUUUAUUAUUUUGUUAAAUUUUGUUAAGUUUUGGUUCAUUUGAAUUGUAAACAUUUAAACAGAAUACAUCUCAGCAACAAAGGCAAUAAAAUAAUAGAGAGCUCUUAGGACCAUAUAGUUUAGAAAUAUUAUUUCCAGGAUGAACUGAAUAGAAACAUGAUAUUUGAGGAGAGCACAACCAAACUAUUUAAAAGAUACAAGAUUCUGUUUGUCUACUAGUGCUCAUAAGGUAAUUACAUAAGUUGCAGAUUGUAAUAUAGAACUAAAUAUUUAUGUUGUAUUGUCUCAACAAGCAGCUGCACUUUUUUAUUAAAACAAUUUGCACAUUAAAAGUGGGUGUGGCCAACUGUAUCUAA